Molecule: ribosomal RNA, 409 nt
Filed under: Epilobocera sinuatifrons
Lineage: Eukaryota; Metazoa; Arthropoda; Malacostraca; Decapoda; Pseudothelphusidae
Description: partial 16S large subunit ribosomal RNA
Rfam family: Archaeal large subunit ribosomal RNA
Source: RNAcentral
AUAAUUUUAAGGGCCGCGGUAUUAUGACCGUGCAAAGGUAGCAUAAUAAUUAGUCUUUUAAUUGAAGGCUCGUAUGAAUGGUUGGACAAAAGGAAUACUGUCUCUGUUUUAUUACUUGAAAUUAACUUUUAAGUGAAAAGGCUUAAAUAUAUCAGAGGGACGAUAAGACCCUAUAAAGCAUUAGGUUGGGGCGACAAAGGUAUAAUUUUUAACUGCUUUAUAAAAAUACAUAAAAUAAAUGUAACGAUCCUUUAUAUUGAGAUUUAAAGAUUAAGUUACUUUAGGGAUAACAGCGUUAUUUUCUUUGAGAGUUCAUAUCGAAAAGAAAGCUUGCGACCUCGAUGUUGAAUUAAAUUUUCUAUAUGGCGCAGCAGCUAUAUAAGAAGGUCUGUUCGACCUUUAAAAUUUU